GUGGGGAAUCUUCCGCAAUGGACGAAAGUCUGACGGAGCAACGCCGCGUGAGUGUUGAAGGUCUUCGGAUUGUAAAGCUCUGUUAAUCGGGACGAAAGAGCCUAGUGUGAAUAAUGCUAGGAAGUGACGGUACCGGAAUAGAAAGCCACGGCUAACUACGUGCCAGCAGCCGCGGUAAUACGUAGGUGGCAAGUGUUGUCCGGAAUUAUUGGGCGUAAAGCGCGCGCAGGCGGAUCUGCCAGUCUGUCUUAAAAGUUCGGGGCUUAACCCCGUGAUGGGAGUGAAACUACAGAUCUAGAGUAUCGGAGAGGAAAGUGGAAUUCCUAGUGUAGCGGUGAAAUGCGGAGAUAUUAGGAAGAACACCAGUGGCGAAUGCGACUUUCUGGACGAAAACUGACGCUGAGGCGCGAAAGACAGGGGAGCGAACGGGAUUAGAUACCCGGGUAGUCC
This 450-nucleotide ribosomal RNA is filed under the name uncultured bacterium. Its description in RNAcentral is "partial 16S ribosomal RNA". It matches the Rfam family "Bacterial small subunit ribosomal RNA", at positions 354 to 796 of the family's 1533-position model. The record is from RNAcentral.